This is a long non-coding RNA of Saccostrea cuccullata (small rock oyster), 1536 nucleotides long. RefSeq lists it as uncharacterized. Lineage: Eukaryota; Metazoa; Mollusca; Bivalvia; Ostreida; Ostreidae. The transcript has 3 exons. The record is from RefSeq and is a predicted model, not a curated record.
CGAUAGAAAUGAUUCAGACAGGUACGAUCGCACCUGUUGAUAUUUAAUUUCACGUCAACAGCGAUCAGCCAUUUUAUUUGCGAGGGAAUUGGCAUGGUCUGACAUGUGCUACAAGGUUAGGUGUAAGAAAUGUCAACGAUUCACCUGGACAGGGUGCGGAAGGCACAUAGAGCUAGUUUUGGAAGAUAUUCCGGUGGAGGAAAGGUGUCAGUGUAAAAAAUCAGGGAAAUGUACAAUAUUAUAGUAUCUUAUGUGGAUAUGCAGUCAUAUAACAGUGGAAGAGAAGAAUCUCAAUAAUUAUGCAAGUUUACUCUUAAGUUGAACACCUGCCCUUUUCUUGCAUAUUUUAACAGUAUGUGCCAAAUUCAUUAUAACUCAUAUAAACUUAUACAAUUCUUUAUUCAUAUAUAGGCCUUUUGAAGGUAUAUUUGCAUUUUUUUUUGCAUAUGAAAAUUUUAAUUAUAUUUUCCUGUUGUUGAUUUUUUUUUACAUAGUAAAGGUAUUUCUUGUUUGGUCCAAAAACGGCCUUGUAAAGUUAACAGGAAUUAUUUUAACCUUUUCUUUGGAAGAAUGUUCAAAUUGUCAUAUAGAAGAUUUUUUAUCAUUUGGUAUAAAAUAUAAAAUGAAUAAUGUAAACACCUUUAUGCACACACACUAUACUAUCUGAGAGCUAAAAUUCAAAAUACAUUUGAAUAAUUCAUGUGACAUUUUAUUAUAAUUUUGGUGCUUUAUUAGUCUUUUAUUGUGGUUUUAAUUUUGUAAGAUAUGCAUCUAUACGACAUGCAUUAAGGUGUAUUUUCAAAGUCACAAAAGUUUAUUUUGCAUAUUGUGUAACUGUAUACAUUGUACAUGUAUCCAACCAAAUAAAUGAUGCAUUCAUGAUGGAACAUCUUUAGACAACCUUAAAGCCACCAUUCCUUUUUUUUGAGGUGGGGGGGGGGCUGAUGAUUUUUCAGAAGGGGUCGGGGUCUAGGUGAAUAGAGUUGUUUCUCUAUCAUAUUGUCAAAUAGUUGCCACAGCUAUAUAUAGAUGAAAAACUUUGACUUUAAAAUAAUAUUUAAAAAUAAUGUUUAAAAAAAUUUGGUAGAGAUGAUUUUUAUGAGUCAGUCAGAGUACGUACAUCAGACAAAUAAUUUUUUUUAUUGUUGGCCGCAGGUUCAAAAAUUUUUCCACGUGGCUACAUGCAUUUAUAUGUCUUCUGUUGUUGUUACUGUAACUUAAAGGUAGAAUAGUUUAAAAUCUAGAGCAAGUCAAUAUUGGUUUUACCAGACAUUCAAUGUAUUAAGUAUUCCCCCACAGCAUUGUCCAAAGUGUUAUUUUUCAGCAUUAUUUCUCAAAUUUCACUUCGGGGAGAUGUCCUAAUUUGAGACCUGUAUUCUCCUAUACUAUACACUCCUCCUGGUUGAUGGCACUUUUAAAUUUUUUUUUCUUUCAUUUUGAUUUGCGACAGCCCAAGGCAAAAAAAAAAAAUUCAAAUGACAAGACACACACAGGUAUCGUUUGCCAAUGUGUAACUGUAUUUUCUCAAGGUCAUGC